UGGUGUGUUUUGUGUGAGAAAAAGCUUACAGCACCUGGUAUUCCCAGGCGGUCUCCCAUCCAAGUACUGACCAGGCCCGACCCUGCUUAGCUUCCGAGAUCAGACGAGAUCGGGCGUAUUCAGGCUGGUAUGGCCGUAAGC
Stegastes partitus (bicolor damselfish) is the source of this 141-nucleotide long non-coding RNA. RefSeq lists it as uncharacterized. The record is from RefSeq and is a predicted model, not a curated record. NCBI's taxonomy places the organism in Eukaryota, Metazoa, Chordata, Actinopteri, Pomacentridae. The transcript is spliced from 2 exons.